GAUGAAGAACGCAGCGAAAUGCGAUAAGUAAUGUGAAUUGCAGAAUUCAGUGAAUCAUCGAAUCUUUGAACGCACAUUGCGCCCCUUGGUAUUCCGGGGGGCAUGCCUGUUCGAGCGUCAUUACAACCCUCAAGCUCAGCUUGGUGUUGGGCCCCGCCGCCCCGGCGGGCCCUAAAGUCAGUGGCGGUGCCGUCCGGCUCCGAGCGUAGUAAUUCUUCUCGCUCUGGAGGUCCGGUCGUGUGCUCGCCAGCAACCCCCAAUUUUUUUCAGGUUGACCUCGGAUCAGGUAGGGAUACCCGCUGAACUUAAGCAUAUCAAUAAGCGGAGGA
This 329-nucleotide unclassified non-coding RNA is filed under the name soil metagenome. Its description in RNAcentral is "partial contains 5.8S ribosomal RNA, internal transcribed spacer 2, and large subunit ribosomal RNA". The stretch from base 1 to 120 matches the Rfam family "5.8S ribosomal RNA", at positions 35 to 154 of the family's 154-position model. The record is from RNAcentral.